RNAcentral lists this ribosomal RNA (543 nucleotides) under Triticum aestivum (bread wheat). Its description in RNAcentral is "partial small subunit ribosomal RNA". The record is from RNAcentral. Lineage: Eukaryota; Viridiplantae; Streptophyta; Magnoliopsida; Poales; Poaceae.
AUGGUGGGCACUCCAACAAUAUCCGUUGCUAUGGUUCUCGUCGUGCUUGCCCUCAUGUCUUAUGGGCUCCCCUCAGCACAUGCCGAUGUCGCCUUCAUAUCCAACACAUGCAAGAAAACCAAGAACCCCGCGUUGUGCGAGGAUGUGCUGAGCUACCAUGAAAAUAGCACCCAGGCCUCCACCGUGCAUGAGCUCGCCAGCAUUGCGCUGGAGAUAGCCACCGCCAUCGCAAAAUUCAACAGCAAGAACUUCGGAGUCGGGGCCAGAUACAACCAGGGCACACCCGUGGAGGACGCUCUGGACGUUUGCCUCCAGGCCUACGAUGAUGCUAUAGAUAACCUCAAGGUCCUUGCCAAACAUAGUCUCCAUGUGGGGGACUAUGCCGAUGCGUUGAGGAAGGUGUUGGACGCUAAGGCUGCCGGUGAUGUGUGCGAUAAUGCGCUCAAGCGGAUCAAAGAGGAUUUCGCUGUUGAAAGUGAUCGCAAAAUGACGGAGCGAUGUGGCGUCACUGCUGAACUAAUCGGGCUUCUUAUCCACAAGUGA